Non-coding RNA from Pelobates cultripes (western spadefoot toad), 430 nucleotides. Lineage: Eukaryota; Metazoa; Chordata; Amphibia; Anura; Pelobatidae. The record is from the annotation of a GenBank genome assembly.
GUACAGACUACCCAGCAAUCCAAGUAAUAGAUGAUACGUUUAUCAAUGGUAGGAGCCAUCCAGGCAUUGUUCCAGAAAUUUGUGGAAAUUCUAUGUAUAUAUGGAAAACAAAUAUGGUGGAGGAGGUUAAUUAAAAGCAAGAACACAUGCCAAGUUCUUGAGACACAGUAAAGAUGACUGAACCAGACAGGUUUGUAGAAUCUUUUGAAAAGUAAUGAGGUGUGAUUCAGACAAUUAUAUGGCUUCAGAAUGGAAGAUUUUAGAUACAGGAUAAUUGCAUCUCCCUUGUGCUGGUUCCAGUUAGUAUCUCUGUUACAGUUGUGUAACCGGUUUACCAGAAUGCUGUCUGGAAUAACUGUUGGUAGGAUAGCAAUCUUUUCUUAAUCUCAUGCAAGCUGGUUUUUAAUGAAUGUGUAGAGAAGUAUAGUUU